CCCAUCAGAACCACUCGAUCACC
RNAcentral lists this non-coding RNA (23 nucleotides) under Arabidopsis thaliana (thale cress). The record is from RNAcentral. Lineage: Eukaryota; Viridiplantae; Streptophyta; Magnoliopsida; Brassicales; Brassicaceae.